CCAGCCUCACUGGCACUGAGACACUGGCCAGACACCUACGGGUGGCUGCAGUCGAGAAUCUUCGGCAAUGGACGAAAGUCUGACCGAGCGACGCCGCGUGCGGGACGAAGGCCUUCGGGUUGUAAACCGCUGUCGAGGGGGAUUAAGGGCAACUUGAAAGAACCCUGGAGGAAGGAGAGGCUAAGCUCGUGCCAGCAGCCGCGGUAAGACGAGCUCUCCAAACGUUAUUCGGUAUCACUGGGCUUAAAGAGUUCGUAGGCGGCUUUACAGGUGGGGUGUGAAAGCCCUCGGCUCAACCGAGGAAUUGCGCCCCAAACCGUAAGGCUUGAGGGAUAUAGGGGUAAGCGGAACAGAUGGUGGAGCGGUGAAAUGCAUUGAUAUCAUCUGGAACACCGGUGGCGAAGGCGGCUUACUGGAUAUUUUCUGACGCUGAGGAACGAAAGCUAGGGUAGCGAACGGGAUUAGAUACCCCGGUAGUCCUAGCCGUAAACGAUGAGCACUAGUUUGAAGGACUCUCACAGUCUUUCGAACGUAGCGA
Molecule: ribosomal RNA, 538 nt
Filed under: uncultured organism
Description: bacterial SSU rRNA
Rfam family: Bacterial small subunit ribosomal RNA
Source: RNAcentral